This 252-nucleotide ribosomal RNA is filed under the name uncultured bacterium. RNAcentral describes it as "partial 16S ribosomal RNA". It matches the Rfam family "Bacterial small subunit ribosomal RNA", at positions 524 to 776 of the family's 1533-position model. The record is from RNAcentral.
UACGAAGGGUGCAAGCGUUACUCGGAAUUACUGGGCGUAAAGCGUGCGUAGGUGGUUUGUUAAGUCCGAUGUGAAAGCCCUGGGCUCAACCUGGGAACUGCGCUUGAAACUACGGAACUCGAGUAUGGCAGAGGAAGGUGGAAUUCCACGUGUAGCGGUGAAAUGCGUAGAGAUCAGGAGGAACACCGUGGCGAAGGCGGCUCCCUGGUCCGUUACUGACGCUGAGACGCGAAAGCGCGGGGAGCGAACGGG